CGUAGGGUGCGAGCGUUAAUCGGAAUUACUGGGCGUAAAGCGUGCGCAGGCGGUGAUGUAAGACAGUUGUGAAAUCCCCGGGCUCAACCUGGGAAUUGCAUCUGUGACUGCAUCGCUAGAGUACGGUAGAGGGGGAUGGAAUUCCGCGUGUAGCAGUGAAAUGCGUAGAUAUGCGGAGGAACACCGAUGGCGAAGGCAAUCCCCUGGACCUGUACUGACGCUCAUGCACGAAAGCGUGGGGAGCAAACAGGA
RNAcentral lists this ribosomal RNA (252 nucleotides) under uncultured Polaromonas sp. Its description in RNAcentral is "partial 16S ribosomal RNA". It matches the Rfam family "Bacterial small subunit ribosomal RNA", at positions 526 to 777 of the family's 1533-position model. Lineage: Bacteria; Pseudomonadati; Pseudomonadota; Betaproteobacteria; Burkholderiales; Comamonadaceae. The record is from RNAcentral.